This 45-nucleotide non-coding RNA is filed under the name Schistosoma mansoni. The record is from RNAcentral. Lineage: Eukaryota; Metazoa; Platyhelminthes; Trematoda; Strigeidida; Schistosomatidae.
AUUCGGCUGACGAGUUCCAAAUAGGACGAAACGCGCGUCCUGAAU